This is a non-coding RNA of Desmophyllum pertusum, 78 nucleotides long. The record is from the annotation of a GenBank genome assembly. Lineage: Eukaryota; Metazoa; Cnidaria; Anthozoa; Scleractinia; Caryophylliidae.
GACGCGGUGGCCUAAUCAGUGGUUAGUGCGCUGGACUCCGGACCGAGCGGUCCGCGGGUUCGAGCACUGGCUGCUUUA